This 854-nucleotide ribosomal RNA is filed under the name uncultured Actinomycetes bacterium. RNAcentral describes it as "bacterial SSU rRNA". It matches the Rfam family "Bacterial small subunit ribosomal RNA", at positions 58 to 887 of the family's 1533-position model. The record is from RNAcentral. Lineage: Bacteria; Bacillati; Actinomycetota; Actinomycetes.
CAAGUCGAACGCGAAAGUUCCCUUCGGGGAGCGAGUAGAGUGGCGCACGGGUGAGUAACACGUAGGUAAUCUACCUUUGGAUUGGGAAUAACCACCGGAAACGGUGGCUAAUACCGAAUAAUGCAGCGGCACCUAAUGGUGACAGUUGUUAAAGCGGGGGAUCGCAAGACCUCGCGUCUGAAGAGGAGCCUGCGGCAGAUUAGCUAGUUGGUAAGGUAACGGCUUACCAAGGCGAUGAUCUGUAGCCGGCCUGAGAGGGCGGUCGGCCACACUGACACUGACAUACGGGUCAGACUCCUACGGGAGGCAGCAGUCGGGAAUUUUGGGCAAUGGGCGAAAGCCUGACCCAGCAACGCCGCGUGAAGGAUGAAAUCCUUCGGGAUGUAAACUUCGCAAGAACGGGAAGAAUAAGUAAGGGUUAAUAUCUCUUACGAUGACGGUACUGUUUGUAAGCUCCGGCUAACUCCGUGCCAGCAGCCGCGGUAAUACGGGGGGAGCAAGCGUUGUUCGGAUUUACUGGGCGUAAAGGGCGCGUAGGCGGCCACCGCAAGUCAAUUGUGAAAUCUCCGGGCUCAACCCGGAACGGUCAACUGAUACUGCGGGGCUAGAGUGCAGAAGGGGCAACUGGAAUUCUCGGUGUAGCGGUGAAAUGCGUAGAUAUCGAGAGGAACACCUGCGGCGAAGGCGGGUUGCUGGGCUGACACUGACGCUGACAGCGCGAAAGCUAGGGGAGCGAACGGGAUUAGAUACCCCGGUAGUCCUAGCCUUAAACGAUGAAUGCUUGGUGUCUGGGGUUUUAUAGUCCCCGGGUGCCGUCGCUAACGCUUUAAGCAUUCCGCCUGGGGAGUACGGUC